AUCACUUCUCCUAGUGGGUGGUCAGGGUGGGUAUUGCGAGGAUUCGACUGUUACUAUGUUCAAUGGUGACCGGUGAGAGUGCCUGUAUAUAGAAGAUAUUUGCAUUCCAAAUUGUUGUUGGUGUCAGCGGGGGCACCAAUUCAUCUAUUUGGACAUUCGGAAGUACCCGAAUGUCCGAAUUGCCCGAAAUUCGUCCGAAUUCACAUUC
Non-coding RNA from Pelobates cultripes (western spadefoot toad), 208 nucleotides. NCBI's taxonomy places the organism in Eukaryota, Metazoa, Chordata, Amphibia, Anura, Pelobatidae. The record is from the annotation of a GenBank genome assembly.